CCCGUCCCUCACGUGGGCUCGCAGCUGGCCACGCCGUCGCCGCGGAAGCCGCGCUGGCAGCGGCACUGGAAGCUGCCGGGGCUGUUGUGGCAGCGCGCCCGCGGGUGGCACCGCGCCAGCCCCAGCGCGCACUCGUCCACGUCGGGGCACGCGCCGUACCACCACCGGCCGCGCCCGCGGUCACUCUGGUCACUCUGGUCACUCUGGUCACUCUGGUCACUCUGGGGGUCAGCCUGACCCUCAGCCUGACCCUCAGCCCGAUGGUCACUCUGGUCACUCUGGUCACUCUGGGGGUCAGCCUGACCCUCAGCCCGAUGGUCACUCCGAUGGUCACUCUGGUCACUCUGGGGGUCAGCCUGACCCUCAGCCUGACCCUCAGCCCGAUGGUCACUCCCAUGGUCACUCUGGGGGUCAGCCUGACCCUCAGCCCGAUGGUCACUCCCAUGGUCACUCUGGUCACUCUGGGGGUCAGCCUGACCCUCAGCCUGAUGGUCACUCCCAUGGUCACUCUGGUCACUCUGGGGGUCAGCCUGACCAUCAGCCUGACGGUCAUUCUGAUGGUCACUCCGAUGGUCAGCCUGACCCUCAGCCUGAUGGUCACUCCGAUGGUCACUCGGCUGGUCACUCUGGUCACUCUGCUGGCUGCUCUGAUGGUCAUUCUGCUGGUCACUUUGGUGGUCACUCUGCUGGUCACUCUGCUGGCUGCUCUGAUGGUCACUCUGCUGGUCACUCGGCUGGUCACUCAGCUGGUCACUCUGCUGGCUGCUCUGAUGGUCACUCUGCUGGUCACUUUGGUGGUCACUCUGCUGGUCACUCUGCUGGCUGCUCUGAUGGUCACUCUGGCGGUCACUCAGCUGGUCAUGGUGAUGGUCACCCAGCUGGUCACUCAGCUGGUCAGCCCAGUGGUCAUUCUGAUGGUCACUCAGCUGGCCACUCUGCUGGUCAUUCUGAUGGUCACUCCAGUGGCCACUCUGCUGGUCAUUCUGAUGGUCACUUUGGUGGUCACUCUGCUGGUCACCGUGCUGGUCGUUCUGCUGGCCACCUUCCUGGUCACUCAGGUGGUCACUCUGGUCACUGUGGUCACUGUGGUCACUCUGCUGGUCACUCUGGUCACUCAGGUGGUCACUCAGGUGGUCACUCUGGUCACUCAGGUGGUCACUGUGGUCACUCAGGUGGUCACUCUGGUCACUGUGGUCACUGUGGUCACUGAGGUGGUCACUCUGGUCACUCAGGUGGUCACUCAGGUGGUCACUCUGGUCACUGUGGUCACUGUGGUCACUCAGGUGGUCAAUCUGGUCACUCAGGUGGUCACUCUGGUCACUCUGGUCACUCUGGUCACUCAGGUGGUCACUCUGGUCACUCAGGUGGUCACUCAGGUGGUCACUGUGGUCACUCAGGUGGUCACUGUGGUCACUCUGCUGGUCACUCUGGUCACUCUGCUGGUCACUCUGGUCACUGUGGUCACUCUGGUCACUCAGGUGGUCACUCUGGUCACUGUGGUCACUGUGGUCACUCCGCUGGUCACUCUGGUCACUCAGGUGGUCACUGUGGUCACUCAGGUCACUCAGGGCCACCGAGCAGUUGGGGAAGUCCCGGGGACCCGCGAAGUCGCCCUCCAAGCAGCUGGGAGAGAAAAUUCGGGAAUUUUGGGAAAUUUUGGGAAUUUUUGGGGGGUUUGGGUGGUAAGACGGGGGAAAAGGGGAAAAAAAUUGAAAUUG
RNAcentral lists this long non-coding RNA (1718 nucleotides) under Lonchura striata (white-rumped munia). RNAcentral's name for it is "domestica (Bengalese finch) lncRNA (ENSLSDG00000002623.1)". The record is from RNAcentral. Lineage: Eukaryota; Metazoa; Chordata; Aves; Passeriformes; Estrildidae.